AAUUUCUGAAAAUUAGGAUUUUUUGUUUUGCAUUGUGUCGAGUAGGAAGAGAGAAGGAAGAACUGGAGAGAUACCUCCUGGGAAAGAACUUAUUCUAAAAGCUAAACCAGGAAAAUCACUUUGAGAAGUUCUUCAUGUUUAGCAGGAAAAUGGGGGAGGGCAUUCUUACCUGGUCGUACAAGACCCCGUUGGGUAACCUGUACCUGUCCUAUGGAGAUCACUCAGCUUUCAGCCAGUGAGACAGACUAGGAAAGGAUAACAUUUUGGUCUAUAACUGGAAUCUGUUAGAAAUACUUGAAACAAUUUAAAAGGGUGUAUUCUAAGAAAC
This 328-nucleotide long non-coding RNA is filed under the name Ictidomys tridecemlineatus (thirteen-lined ground squirrel). Its description in RNAcentral is "lncRNA (ENSSTOG00000032176.1)". The record is from RNAcentral. Lineage: Eukaryota; Metazoa; Chordata; Mammalia; Rodentia; Sciuridae.